Molecule: ribosomal RNA, 497 nt
Filed under: uncultured bacterium
Lineage: Bacteria
Description: partial 16S ribosomal RNA
Rfam family: Bacterial small subunit ribosomal RNA
Source: RNAcentral
GAUGAACGCUGGCGGCGUGCCUAAUACAUGCAAGUCGAGCGAAUAGACGAGGAGCUUGCUCCUCUGACGUUAGCGGCGGACGGGUGAGUAACACGUGGAUAACCUACCUAUAAGACUGGGAUAACUUCGGGAAACCGGAGCUAAUACCGGAUAAUAUAUUUAUGCGCAUGGUUCAAUAUUGAAAGACGGUUUUGCUGUCACUUAUAGAUGGAUCCGCGCCGCAUUAGCUAGUUGGUAAGGUAACGGCUUACCAAGGCAACUAUGCGUAGCCGACCUGAGAGACUGAUCGCCCACACUAGAACUGAGACACGAUCCAGACUCCUACGGGAGGCAGCAGUAGGAAAUCUUCCGCAAUGGGCGAAAGCCUGACGGAACAACGCCGCGUAGAUGAUGAAGAUCUUCGGAUCGUAAAACUCUGUUAUUAGGGAAGAACAAAUGUGUAAGUAACUAUACACGUCUUGACGGUACCUAAUCAGAAAGCCACGGCUAACUACGUG